Pelmatolapia mariae (spotted tilapia) is the source of this 570-nucleotide long non-coding RNA. RefSeq lists it as uncharacterized. NCBI's taxonomy places the organism in Eukaryota, Metazoa, Chordata, Actinopteri, Cichliformes, Cichlidae. The record is from RefSeq and is a predicted model, not a curated record. The transcript has 3 exons.
UGAUUAAGGCAUAAGUUGUUCUUUAUCAUCAGAUCUAAGUUUGUUUAAAGCUUCGAAUGUUUUGGGGUACUCUUCUUUGUUUUCAGGGUUCGUGGCAACCACGGAUGGGAAAAUGUGGAGGUUGCACGGCUGAUGUUUACUGUUCGUGGCACAGGAAGAGGCAGUUUCAUUUCAGGAAUGAGUGUGCACAAUCAAAGAAUAGAGCGACUGUGGAGAGACCUCUGGGUGGCCGUUACAUGCAUUUACUACGAUGUUCUUCACAACCCUGAGGAAGAAGGCCUUCUUGACAUUUCAAAUGCUGCACACCUCUUUUGCUGCCAUUACAUCUUUCUUCCUCGACUAGAGGAUAAUUUUAAUACAUUUUGCAGUGGAUGGGACAACCAUCCACUGCGAACAGAAAACAACAUGAGUCCCCCAACCAGCUGUGGGAGUUGGGUCACAGAUAUUACCCUGUUCCUGUUCCAGAAAACACACAGCUUAUCACACAUUUGAUUUCCAUGUGUGACGACUGCAAGUGUCCAGAGUGAGGACAGACUGAGGGACCCACUGCUGCACAUCAUCUGUGAGGCU